UGCAAAUUAAUGAAAAUUUGCUAAACACGCGCCAAUAAAGGUAUUUUUCGGUUUCUAUAUUGACACAUUUUAGCGCUUGUGUUAUCAUUAAGCAAGUGAGUUUGCCUAAGGCUCGCGGUAAGAAAUAUUUAGGGGGAAUGUAAAGUAUGUUAGGUAAAGUUAAGUGGUUCAACCAGGAGAAAGGAUUCGGCUUCAUUGAAAGAGAAGACGGUGGCGAUGUAUUCGUUCACUUCUCUGCUAUUCAAGAAGAAGGAUUCAAGACCUUGGCUGAAGGACAGGAAGUCGAAUUUGAAAUUGUGGAAGGUGCUCGUGGGCCUCAAGCGGCAAACGUAGUUAAGUUGUAAUUUCAAAUGACAAUUUCUAACCCCAGGUAGCUCCCUGGGGUUUUUAA
Regulatory RNA element from Thermincola sp., 391 nucleotides. It matches the Rfam family "cspA thermoregulator". NCBI's taxonomy places the organism in Bacteria, Bacillati, Bacillota, Clostridia, Eubacteriales, Thermincolaceae. The record is from Rfam.